Molecule: long non-coding RNA, 962 nt
Filed under: Triticum aestivum (bread wheat)
Lineage: Eukaryota; Viridiplantae; Streptophyta; Magnoliopsida; Poales; Poaceae
Description: long non-coding RNA (TAES_LNC001914)
Source: RNAcentral
UGGCGAGCAACUGGCAUUUGAUAAGGUGAGAGAUCAUGUCAGUUAUUGUGAAGAGGUUGUGCGUUCAAAAAUUCCGUCGUGCGGCUAUUGAUUUGGAAAUUCUGGUAAUUGUGCUUGCUUCGUUGCUUGUGUCAAUAUAACAAUGACCUGCACAUCCGAUUAUCUUAUUAACAUGGUUUGGGUGUGUGAUCUCUUCAUUGUUUGUUUCAGAGGAUGUGGAGAGGAAGCAACAACGAUGGCAAGAAUAAUUUCUAGGAUUAAUAGGACGAUGGAUCCCGUACAGUACUCAUUUUUAUGCUGCACACUUGAUAUUGCUAUGGUAAAUCACCAUGACUCACUAAUUCCUUUACACAUUAGGCCAUCGAGUAUGAUUCAGUAUGAUGUGAAGGCUUACAUUUCACUCGGGAGAGGCUCUGAAGGAGAUAAUGGCAGGUCAGUUAAUUUAUUUCCUUUCAUGAACCUAUAUAGUGAUUUUACUAGAGAUUUAGCGUUAUUUUCUUUCAAGUUUUAUGGUAUCCACGUUGGACUGUAGGCUGAAUUUCUUCUUCCAAUAUUCCAGUGUUAAUGUGUCAAAGUGUUUCCUCUAUCACUCGUGGCAGAAUAGUUGGCAUCCACAUUUGAAUACCAUAUCUACUGAUAUUUCUUUACAAUUUCUUUUUUCCAUUAGGCAAAAUUAGCAUACGCACGUAUGGACUUGGUUAUCUUGCUAUAAUUUUCUGCACCUUUUUGUAGGGAUCCAUGAGGGGAGAUCAAUGCCAUGUUUGAGCUGCCUAAUAUGUGCAACAGAUGCAAAACAUGUCUUGAUUUGCCACCAUGUUGCAAUUACAAGAGUAGUAACUGAUUUAGUACUAUGUUAAUGCCACAAUUCCACGUUUUGAACAGGACAAGGUGACACUGAACAGUACACACUCAAAUGUAGAUUAACUUCGGCCAUCUCAUGCAGUCAUGCUUUGUAUACACAC